CUUGACACUGAACAUUGAGCCUUGAUGUGUAGGAUAGGUGGGAGGCUUUGAAGUGUGGACGCCAGUCUGCAUGGAGCCGACCUUGAAAUACCACCCUUUAAUGUUUGAUGUUCUAACGUGGACCCGUAAUCCGGGUUGCGGACAGUGUCUGGUGGGUAGUUUGACUGGGGCGGUCUCCUCCUAAAGAGUAACGGAGGAGCACGAAGGUUGGCUAAUCCUGGUCGGACAUCAGGAGGUUAGUGCAAUGGCAUAAGC
Molecule: ribosomal RNA, 255 nt
Filed under: Escherichia coli
Lineage: Bacteria; Pseudomonadati; Pseudomonadota; Gammaproteobacteria; Enterobacterales; Enterobacteriaceae
Also listed under: 15 other names
Description: partial 23S ribosomal RNA
Rfam family: Bacterial large subunit ribosomal RNA
Source: RNAcentral